GCCGAAGUAGCUCAGUUGGUAGAGCGCCUCGCUGUUAACGAGGCGGUCCCAGGUUCGAGUCCUGGCUUCGGCG
The submitters of this transfer RNA (73 nucleotides) gave its source as uncultured archaeon A07HB70. It matches the Rfam family "tRNA". From Rfam's summary of the family: Transfer RNA (tRNA) molecules are approximately 80 nucleotides in length. Their secondary structure includes four short double-helical elements and three loops (D, anti-codon, and T loops). The record is from Rfam.